AGUGAACGCUGGCGGUAGGCCUAACACAUGCAAGUCGAACGGCAGCACAGUAAGAGCUUGCUCUUACGGGUGGCGAGUGGCGGACGGGUGAGGAAUACAUCGGAAUCUACUUUUUCGUGGGGGAUAACGUAGGGAAACUUACGCUAAUACCGCAUACGACCUACGGGUGAAAGCAGGGGAUCUUCGGACCUUGCGCGAUUGAAUGAGCCGAUGUCGGAUUAGCUAGUUGGCGGGGUAAAGGCCCACCAAGGCGACGAUCCGUAGCUGGUCUGAGAGGAUGAUCAGCCACACUGGAACUGAGACACGGUCCAGACUCCUACGGGAGGCAGCAGUGAGGAAUAUUGGACAAUGGGCGCAAGCCUGAUCCAGCCAUACCGCGUGGGUGAAGAAGGCCUUCGGGUUUUAAAGCCCUUUUGUUGGGAAAGAAAAGCAGCAGGUUAAUACCCCGCUGUUCUGACGGUACCCAAAGAAUAAGCACCGGCUAACUUCGUG
This 492-nucleotide ribosomal RNA is filed under the name uncultured bacterium. RNAcentral describes it as "partial 16S ribosomal RNA". It matches the Rfam family "Bacterial small subunit ribosomal RNA", at positions 29 to 507 of the family's 1533-position model. The record is from RNAcentral.